This 497-nucleotide ribosomal RNA is filed under the name uncultured bacterium. RNAcentral's name for it is "bacterial SSU rRNA". It matches the Rfam family "Bacterial small subunit ribosomal RNA", at positions 28 to 484 of the family's 1533-position model. The record is from RNAcentral.
GACGAACGCUGGCGGCGUGCCUAAUACAUGCAAGUCGAACGCACUCUCGUUUAGAUUGAAGGAGCUUGCUCCUGAUUGAUAAACAUUUGAGUGAGUGGCGGACGGGUGAGUAACACGUGGGUAACCUGCCCUAAAGUGGGGGAUAACAUUUGGAAACAGAUGCUAAUACCGCAUAAAACCUAAACACCGCAUGGUGUAGGGUUGAAAGAUGGUUUCGGCUAUCACUUUAGGAUGGACCCGCGGUGCAUUAGUUAGUUGGUGAGGUAAAGGCUCACCAAGACCGUGAUGCAUAGCCGACCUGAGAGGGGUAAUCGGCCACACUGGGACUGAGACACGGCCCAGACUCCUACGGGAGGCAGCAGUGGGAAUCUUCCACAAUGGACGAAAGUCUGAUGGAGCAACGCCGCGUGAGUGAAGAAGGCUUUCGGAUCGUAAAACUCUGUUGUUGGAGAAGAAUGUAUCUGAUAGUACUGAUCAGGUAGUGACGGUAUCCAACC